UGAGGAAUAUUGGUCAAUGGGCGCAAGCCUGAACCAGCCAUCCCGCGUGAAGGAUGAAGGCCCUAUGGGUCGUAAACUUCUUUUAUACACCAAGAAAAAGCAGGACGUGUCCUGCCCCGACGGUAGUGUAUGAAUAAGCAUCGGCUAACUCCGUGCCAGCAGCCGCGGUAAUACGGAGGAUGCGAGCGUUAUCCGGCUUCAUUGGGUUUAAAGGGUGCGUAGGCGGCUUUUUAAGUCAGUGGUGAAAUCUUGCCGCUUAACGGUAAAAUUGCCAUUGAUACUGAUAAGCUUGAGUACAAUUGAGGUAAGCGGAAUGUGUAGUGUAGCGGUGAAAUGCUUAGAUAUGACACAGAACACCGAUCGCGAAGGCAGCUCACUAAGCUAAAACUGACGCUCAUGCACGAAAGCGUGGGGAUCAAACA
RNAcentral lists this ribosomal RNA (422 nucleotides) under uncultured prokaryote. RNAcentral describes it as "bacterial SSU rRNA". It matches the Rfam family "Bacterial small subunit ribosomal RNA", at positions 355 to 774 of the family's 1533-position model. The record is from RNAcentral.